RNAcentral lists this ribosomal RNA (358 nucleotides) under uncultured bacterium. RNAcentral describes it as "bacterial SSU rRNA". It matches the Rfam family "Bacterial small subunit ribosomal RNA", at positions 29 to 414 of the family's 1533-position model. The record is from RNAcentral.
AGCGAACGCUGGCGGCAGGCCUAAUACAUGCAAGUCGAACGGAUCCUUCGGGAUUAGUGGCGGACGGGUGAGUAACACGUGGGAACGUGCCCUUUGGUUCGGAACAACUCAGGGAAACUUGAGCUAAUACCGGAUGUGCCCUUCGGGGGAAAGAUUUAUCGCCAUUGGAGCGGCCUGCGUCUGAUUAGCUAGUUGGUGGGGUAAAGGCCUACCAAGGCUACGAUCAGUAGCUGGUCUGAGAGGAUGAUCAGCCACACUGGGACUGAGACACGGCCCAGACUCCUACGGGAGGCAGCGGUAGGGAAUCUUGCGCAAUGGGCGAAAGCCUGACGCAGCCAUGCCGCGUGAAUGAUGAAGG